UGCGGGGUAGUUCAUUUGGAAGAAUGCUGGGCUCAUAACCCAGAGGUAGGGGGUUCGAGUCCCUCCCCCGCUACCA
This 76-nucleotide transfer RNA is filed under the name Aureispira sp. RNAcentral's name for it is "tRNA-Met". It matches the Rfam family "tRNA". From Rfam's summary of the family: Transfer RNA (tRNA) molecules are approximately 80 nucleotides in length. RNAcentral also lists the same sequence under 1 other name. Lineage: Bacteria; Pseudomonadati; Bacteroidota; Saprospiria; Saprospirales; Saprospiraceae. The record is from RNAcentral.